GCAUGUCGAGGUGCUGUGACCUCGUAAAACAGCAGCAAACAAGUAACUGCGAACGACGAACGUUUCGCCCUCGCCGCCUGAUCGCGGCGAGCCUUGCACCGGUCGGCCGAUAGGCCGGGCCGUGCGGACCGCAAGGUCUGCCGGCAGCAAGGGCACUCUCAUCGGCUGGCUUCACGGCGGGCAACUUGCCGUGAAGUGAGAUCCAAGGUUGCUGGCCCCAGGCGCAGCGUGCCGCUGCGCGACGCCGGGGGCGAGACCCAAAACAGACGGCUACACAUGUAGA
RNAcentral lists this transfer-messenger RNA (283 nucleotides) under Vibrio vulnificus. It matches the Rfam family "transfer-messenger RNA", at positions 45 to 320 of the family's 374-position model. From Rfam's summary of the family: Bacterial tmRNA, also known as 10Sa RNA or SsrA, is named for its dual tRNA and mRNA-like properties. Its role is to liberate the mRNA from a stalled ribosome. The record is from RNAcentral. Lineage: Bacteria; Pseudomonadati; Pseudomonadota; Gammaproteobacteria; Vibrionales; Vibrionaceae.